UACGUAGGGGGCUAGCGUUGUCCGGAAUUAUUGGGCGUAAAGAGCGUGUAGGCGGUCCGGUAAGUCGGCUGUGAAAGUCCAGGGCUCAACCCUGGGAUGCCGGUCGAUACUGCCGGACUAGAGUUCGGAAGAGGCGAGUGGAAUUCCCGGUGUAGCGGUGAAAUGCGCAGAUAUCGGGAGGAACACCUAUGGCGAAGGCAGCUCGCUGGGACGUUACUGACGCUGAGGAGCGAAAGCGUGGGGAGCGAACAGG
Molecule: ribosomal RNA, 253 nt
Filed under: uncultured bacterium
Lineage: Bacteria
Description: partial 16S ribosomal RNA
Rfam family: Bacterial small subunit ribosomal RNA
Source: RNAcentral